RNAcentral lists this long non-coding RNA (1043 nucleotides) under Rhinopithecus bieti (black snub-nosed monkey). RNAcentral's name for it is "lncRNA (ENSRBIG00000046761.1)". The record is from RNAcentral. Lineage: Eukaryota; Metazoa; Chordata; Mammalia; Primates; Cercopithecidae.
UAACUGGUAACACCUAAAUAUUAUACUGUUUACUUGUUUUUCCCUGAAACUAGUUAGAAUUGUUAGCCAGCUUACAUCUUUUGUUCUGAGGGACACAAUUUAUAUUUUAAAUAUAUAGCUCCUUUAAGAAAAUCUAUGUAUUCUUAGGUGGAAGCUAGAGCCUGCUAGACUGUUAAACUGUCUUUGCAAGAUGACUUUGUGAGCUUCCCUCUGUAGAGACUUUUAUUUUCCAUGUGGUACUCACAGGAAGGCUUUGCAAUCACCAUCGUAUGGAGCUCGAAUUCGAAAAAUCCUGAGCUGGAUAGGCGGUGCUUCUCCACUGUGUACAGGCUGAGAUCCGGCGUUGCAGGACGGUCACCAGCCAUGGAUGCUGACCCAGGGACCUAGAAGACAGCUUCCGCGCUUCUCCAGCUCCGGCACCUACUUAUUAGAACACACGGGGUCAAAGAGGUUAAGAAACUGGAGAUCUAAGGAAUGCGGUUUGAAAAUGAACCUGCUGAAUGAUCCCUUCCAGCCACUUAUUUUUGGUUUGUUUCUAAAUCCCUCCCUGGGUAUACUACAAGGCACAGUUAUGAACAAAGAUGUUGCAGAAAAAACCUUACUCUUCAUCUGCCCUUCAAAACCAACAGUUUCCAAACGCUCAGGGACAUACCAGUUGGAUAACUUCAGGGAACCCAUUCGCAGUUAGCGGCAAAUUAAAAACUGUUUUCAGAGGAAAAGAAAAAGUGCUGCCAGGCCCAAGAGGCUUCAUAAGAGAUACGAGGACGAAAAGUUGAAGAGGCCUUGGGAGUCGCCUCUGUGUGCAGAAGAGAAACUGGAGGCCCCGGGAGGUGAAAUGGACUGCCCCGGUCAAACAGAUCAACAGUGGACGGAGUAUCGUCCCAACCCAGUGCUCCUAGAAAGGGUCAGAGUGAUGGUGGGGGCAGUAGGGAAGACACUAGCUGAGGCAGCAGAAAAAAGUUAGAAUUGCUGUCAGAGGCAACCCCUUUUAACCUGUGCCUGGAUACCGUGUCAUUUGCAAAUUUGAUAAGCUGAUGUGUGUC